UCCGCGCUGGUGUAAUGGCUAACAUCGCUGUCUUUCACACAGCAGCUCGGGGUUCGAUUCCCCGGCGCGGAA
Molecule: transfer RNA, 72 nt
Filed under: Sphaerobolus stellatus SS14
Lineage: Eukaryota; Fungi; Basidiomycota; Agaricomycetes; Geastrales; Sphaerobolaceae
Description: tRNA-Glu (TTC) (tRNA-Glu-TTC-3 1 to 6)
Rfam family: tRNA
About the family: Transfer RNA (tRNA) molecules are approximately 80 nucleotides in length.
Source: RNAcentral